UGGGGAAUAUUGGACAAUGGGCGCAAGCCUGAUCCAGCCAUGCCGCGUGAGUGAUGAAGGCCCUAGGGUUGGAAAGCUCUUUCACCGGAGAAGAUAAUGACGGUAACCGGAGAAGAAGCCCCGGCUAACUUCGUGCCAGCAGCCGCGGUAAUACGAAGGGGGCUAGCGUUGUUCGGAUUUACUGGGCGUAAAGCGCACGUAGGCGGACUAUUAAGUCAGGGGUGAAAUCCCGGGGCUCAACCCCGGAACUGCCUUUGAUACUGGUAGUCUUGAGUUCGAGAGAGGUGGGUGGAAUUCCGAGUGUAAAGGUGAAAUUCGUAGAUAUUCCGGGGAACACCAGUGGCGAAGGCGGCUCACUGGCUCGAUACUGACGCUGAGGUGCGAAAGCGUGGGGAGCCAACCGG
RNAcentral lists this ribosomal RNA (404 nucleotides) under Actinomycetes bacterium. Its description in RNAcentral is "Actinobacteria bacterium partial 16S ribosomal RNA". It matches the Rfam family "Bacterial small subunit ribosomal RNA", at positions 355 to 776 of the family's 1533-position model. The record is from RNAcentral. Lineage: Bacteria; Bacillati; Actinomycetota; Actinomycetes.